RNAcentral lists this transfer RNA (76 nucleotides) under Thiohalocapsa marina. Its description in RNAcentral is "tRNA-Phe". It matches the Rfam family "tRNA". Rfam says of the family: Transfer RNA (tRNA) molecules are approximately 80 nucleotides in length. Their secondary structure includes four short double-helical elements and three loops (D, anti-codon, and T loops). RNAcentral also lists the same sequence under 6 other names. The record is from RNAcentral. Lineage: Bacteria; Pseudomonadati; Pseudomonadota; Gammaproteobacteria; Chromatiales; Chromatiaceae.
GCCCAGGUAGCUCAGUUGGUAGAGCAGAGGACUGAAAAUCCUCGUGUCGGCAGUUCGAUUCUGUCCCUGGGCACCA